ACUUUAGUCUAAAGUAGGAGGGGAAAUCGCACUAUUCAUAUGAACAGUGUUUUGGUCCGAAUUUCACUUUAUUUACGAGGUUGCCACUGACUCUGUCUGCCGUUGAUCAUGAUGCCUGCGUGUUGAUGAUCGUGGAAAGGCAGGGUGCGAUCGUCACUUUACCAUUCUCUUCCUCCCCUCUCUCUCUCACUCAGAUCCCAUCUGCUUACCUAAAAUCCCCAGAUCGAACAUCCUCCAUCUCAAAUAAAAAAACCUUCCCCCUUCAAAACCCAUAGAAUCAGCACUCAUGGAAUGAUCAUGGAUUUUUGUUGAGUCGACCUUCUGGUGAUAAAAUCGUGAUGUGACCAUCGUAUUCUCUCUCACAGCUCACAACGAUGAAAUCGCACAGGGCUUCCUUGAUUUCUGUCAACUCCGACCACGACCAGUGUUGUUAUGAUUAGACGAUUCGGAUGCGCCUAAUAAACAAACCUAAUUUGCCUCGCGCGUUCAGUCAUCUCCUUCCUUCGUCUAAAACCUCACACAGAGACAGAGAUCCCCUAAAACCCUAAACGCCCAAAGUAUUAAUCACAAAGUUACGGAGCUGAAAUUGCAAACGCUGUCAUGGCUGCCUUAAAAAAUAAGAAGAAUGUGUGUGUGAAGUCGGUUUCGACGAAGAAGCAGGCUAAUAUGGACCAUAUCACAAGGGAUAAAAUCCCAAGGAGGUUUGUGUUUUCCAGAUGCAAGUUGCCUGGUCCUCUGAAGCAGCUUCAAGCUGAUUUGAGAAACUGGUGCUUCCCUACACUGCCUUUAAGCUUAAGGAGAAGAGGCAGAACAAUCUUAGAGACUUUUUGAAUGUGGUUGGGCCUAUGGGGGUUACACAUUUCCUCAUGUUGUCGAAAACUCCAACUGCGCCAUACCUUAGGUUUGUGAGGACACCUCAAGGCUCAACGCUAUUUUCAUAAGAUAUGCAGUGGGUUCCAUUUCUAAUGUCUUUGUGGGUUUUCAGGGGUGCAGAUCCUGAUUGACAAGGAAUAACAGAAACGAAUAUAACAACAGUGAGACCAAAUGGGAGAUCCAAUGAAAAAAAAACAGUAAUGGAUAAACCGAGGCCUAUAGAUUUCAACUGCCUCACAACCGCCGCCAGAGAGGUCAGGUUGUCCAGAGCGCUGCCUUUUCCUCCGCCAACACCGCUGUGUCAGAUGUUAAGCUGCGACUCCAGGAGGACCACAGCAAUGGCUUCAAUCCCAUCCUCCACUUUUGCUUCUGGAGUUUGUCAGGGAGAAAGUUCACGAACGAAAGAAAUCUAAUCGAGAGGAACCCUGAUUGUGGGAGGAAGAAGCUGCUUCAUUGCCAUUUUUAGAUCAAAGUCUCAUUACAACGUCGUGAUCUGCUCUUCUUGCUGCCUUUGAUCUAGGGGUCUGGACCUAUUGCAUUUGAAUCAAGGCUUUGAUCCAACACAACCAUACACAUCAAACCAUCCAUUCACACAGCAGCCACCAAACAAACCAUUACUCAAACAUACACACUUUUUUGAGAAACAAAGAGUAUCAACCACUGGAAUCUGGAUUUCCUAGCAGCAGGGAGUGCUGAUGUAUCUGAGAACCAUCAUCUUUUCCUUCUUCCGCUUCUUCCUGUGCAUUCCAGUUUGACUGUCUGUCAUAAAAAAGGAUCUAAAGCAUUUUUCCUUUUGAAGAGCAGCUGCACGGAAAGUAUUAGAAAGUUGGAUCGAUCAAUGGAGCACUUGGCCCUUUGACUUUUGAGUGCGGAAGAUAUCCACUCUAAAAAAAAGUGAACAAUGCAAUCUCCAUAAUUGACUACUGCAGGCAAUUCUACAUAUUUUUGGCUAUCAACAUUUUUGCUUCAACAACUGCGUGUUUAUCACACAUUCGUGCUUGGAAACUUAGAUGCUAGAAUAAGAACAAAAUAGUUUUUAUGUUUUUUGUCAACUACAACGUGUAGCCAACCUAGAAGAUGUAUAUUUUAUCACCUUGACUACAAGGGCAACAUUUCUGUAAACUAUAUGUUACUUCUAUUUCUUCUAUUUAUUAGGGAACCAAAACGUUCUGUUUCGUCCUGUUAAUUGUACAAUAUAGUUCAAGGUGAUGUAUUCAAGUCCCGCAGCAUUGCGCGGGCAUUUUU
Long non-coding RNA from Pyrus x bretschneideri (Chinese white pear), 2118 nucleotides. RefSeq lists it as uncharacterized. The transcript has 15 exons. Lineage: Eukaryota; Viridiplantae; Streptophyta; Magnoliopsida; Rosales; Rosaceae. The record is from RefSeq and is a predicted model, not a curated record.